RNAcentral lists this ribosomal RNA (189 nucleotides) under uncultured bacterium. RNAcentral's name for it is "partial 16S ribosomal RNA". It matches the Rfam family "Bacterial small subunit ribosomal RNA", at positions 1304 to 1500 of the family's 1533-position model. The record is from RNAcentral.
UCUGCAACCCGACUCCACGAAGUUGGAUUCGCUAGUAAUCGCGCAUCAGCCAUGGCGCGGUGAAUACGUUCCCGGGCCUUGUACACACCGCCCGUCAAGCCAUGGGAGCCGGGGGCGCCUGAAGUCCGGGACCGCGAGGACCGGCCUAGGGCGAAACUGGUGACUGGGGCUAAGUCGUAACAAGGUAGC